CUUCAGGGUCAUUCGACUCGCAAGUUGACUCGGCUCCUCCCUCACACCCAUGCUUAGGGGGCCGUGGCCAGCAUGGUGCCAUCCAUAGUCCUGGUACAGAAAUCACGUGUCCGGCAGCGUGACCAACCGCUGAAGCAAGGCAGGAGGAAUGGCUGGAAGCCUAGAUGGGAUUUAAGAAUGGCUCCUAUGAUCGCAGCAUCAGAGGAAUGUCAAGGUCAUGGGGAUACAGAACACACUUUAAGGGAGAAAAGGACCGCUGUGAGGGAUCUCUGGAGCAAGCGCCUAUACUCUCUUGGCAACUUUCCUCGAUGUCCGGUUCCGGUGUGCCCCUUCUACUUUUGAGCAUCGCCGUCUACUCGUCCUUGAAGAAUGCCAGCAAGAAGAAAAUUGCUCUGCCAUUGGCAAUCACAUCUCAUCCCAACCUUACCGUACUUAUCCUAGACUGGGAUCUUCCAGGACCAGAUCUGUGUCUGAUUCACCUCUGUGUUCCCAAAAUUGAGUACCAGGUGGUACAAGGGUGGCUCCCCACCCCUAUUUGAAGAGUGGAUAUAUGUGGGGCCCAUCUCAUUCGCUGGGUUCUAGGCUCUAGGGUGUUUUCAUCCUAACAGGAAACUGAUCUGGCCUAGGGUGUUGUCUGCAAGUCACCCAUUGGCACCAUUGCCUUUUCCGGUCACGGUUUCUUAAUGUAGUACUGGAAGUUCAUGUAUUCUCCCCAAAAGGGUAGGCAAAGUUUUCAAGAGUUUGUGGGUAGUUUUCUGGUGGUGGGGGUCAGCAGCAGACUCCAUCAGAAUUCAGCGGGGUUGUGAGAAGAGACCGGAAAAAGGGUAUAGGGAUAAAAGUAGUUCCCAGAAGUAUUUGGCAGACACCCCCUGCCCUCCGUCCCUGCCCCCGCCCUCGCCCCUGCCCCUGCCCCUGCCCCUGCCCCGGCCCCGGCCGGCCUUUUGCAUCUCCCGGAAGUACACAUUUGCUGUUGUCCUCCGGCGUGGGAAGAUCCCUGAGCUCCAAGGGCGUAUGUCAUUGUUCGGCCCUUUGGAAAGUUCUAAAACUGGGACGUGUCCCUUGCACGCACAUUGUGCCUCCUAUGGUAUGAGCGCCCUUCAAAGGCAUUCGCUGCUUUCACACAGCUCUGGAUCUUUUCGAGGUUCCUUUAGAAGCCCCAUUCACUGGGGCUUCCUGACCAGGGCCUGGUGCGCACUAGGCAAGCUCUCCACUCUUCAGCCCCAGCACCAUUUCUCCCUGAGGUCUCUUCCCAAGCUUGCUUGCUUUUCCUUCAGGCCUCUGCUAUCCAGUCUCCAGGCCAACUACCUGCUAGACCACAGCCUGAGCAGCGAGCAUCCCCAACACCUGCUUCAGCACACUGCUGGGCUGAUCCUGAUUUUCAAGACACGUUUGUGGUCCUUUAACUGUUAGGGCGACUGACAGAUUGUGGUCUCCCAGAAGAUGGGCACCACGCUUGCUCGCUCCUUCUCUCCGUUCUUUAUCUGUGGCCUAGCACAGGGUAUGCAUGCCAUAGGUGCUAAAUAAAUGAGCAGGAACAAGAAAACAGUCUUGUUUUCACAGACUGGAGCGGCCAUAGCUGAACCGGUUUCUUGGAUGCUUUUUUUCUAGUGGGCGUGCAGCAUGCACCGGGAUGUCUUGUUUGCAUAAGUGGUAUUAGGUGGCCAUUCUGGGGCUCAAAGGGAGAGCUUUGUUCCUCACUUCUCUGCAGACCCAGGGAAGGAGCUCAGCUACGGAGACUCUGAACCCAGGCAGUCUGGAUUCAAAUCUCAAAGUAACUCUAUUGCCCUGAGCAUGUUGAUCUCUUUGUGCCCCUCUAACACAGGGAUGAUAACAGUCCCUACUUCCUAGGCCACUUAGGGAACUGAAGGAAAAAUCGUGUAUUUGUAACCUAGAGAAGGACAUAGUCAGUGCAUGGCUGUCAUCAGUGGCCACACAAUUCAAAUAUCUUCUGCCUUUUGCCUUUCAAUAAUAUGUCCAAAGCUUAGAGGCCUUCACUUCAGUUCCUUGACUCUUACUUACUAGCCCAAGUAACGGGCUCAUACGAGGUCAUUUCCAACCUGUGGGCCCUGCGUUGUUAGCUGGAAGGACCUGUCUGAGCCCCGUCUCUGGUGCACGUGGGGCAAAUCUUAGUUUCAGCAAAACGGCCAUAGUUACAUGCCAGUCUUGGGUCUUGGAGUUUUCUUAUUCCUGGAGCAAGCCUCAAAAACCUCCUCAAGCCAGAAGCCUGAUGGGAGAAUUCAUUAAUGCCCUCAUCCGACCCUUGAGAAUGAAAAAGGGUCAGGGAAAGAAGCCAGAUUUGCUGAGCGUCGACCAUAACCCUUGGCAUCCUACACAUGUUGCCUCUAGUGAGCCUUCACAUCAGCCUGAGGGACCCAGGAGCCUGCAGAGGAAGCCUACGACUUAGAAAUCGUAGGCCACCGUGUGGACUUCUGCUCACGUCUUCACUUUUGUUAGAGGAGGCUCUGGAAUGAUGUUUGUGGUAAUGGAAAAGUUCUGUAUCUUGAUUGUGGUGAUGAUUAUAUGUGAUAAGCUCUCAUAGGAGCGUGUGCCCCUGAGCACACAGACUGCGUGCUGAGGAGAAGCCUCUGGACUCUGAAGGCUUCUGAGUUCAUGAAAUUGUACUGCAGCCAACUUGGCUGGCUUCAAGGACUGUGGUCACAUUGGAUGUCGCUAAGGGGAAGCUGGGGAAGGGUCCAUUGAACCCUCUUAUCUCUACUAUUCCUUGUGAGCCUUAAACUGGAAUAAAAUAUUUGAAAAAUGCAA
Long non-coding RNA from Rattus norvegicus (Norway rat), 2763 nucleotides. RefSeq annotates it as RIKEN cDNA 1700029M20 gene like. The transcript has 2 exons. NCBI's taxonomy places the organism in Eukaryota, Metazoa, Chordata, Mammalia, Rodentia, Muridae. The record is from RefSeq and is marked validated.